This 1532-nucleotide ribosomal RNA is filed under the name Streptococcus pneumoniae GA47360. Its description in RNAcentral is "bacterial SSU rRNA". It matches the Rfam family "Bacterial small subunit ribosomal RNA". The record is from RNAcentral. Lineage: Bacteria; Bacillati; Bacillota; Bacilli; Lactobacillales; Streptococcaceae.
GAGUUUGAUCCUGGCUCAGGACGAACGCUGGCGGCGUGCCUAAUACAUGCAAGUAGAACGCUGAAGGAGGAGCUUGCUUCUCUGGAUGAGUUGCGAACGGGUGAGUAACGCGUAGGUAACCUGCCUGGUAGCGGGGGAUAACUAUUGGAAACGAUAGCUAAUACCGCAUAAGAGUAGAUGUUGCAUGACAUUUGCUUAAAAGGUGCACUUGCAUCACUACCAGAUGGACCUGCGUUGUAUUAGCUAGUUGGUGGGGUAACGGCUCACCAAGGCGACGAUACAUAGCCGACCUGAGAGGGUGAUCGGCCACACUGGGACUGAGACACGGCCCAGACUCCUACGGGAGGCAGCAGUAGGGAAUCUUCGGCAAUGGACGGAAGUCUGACCGAGCAACGCCGCGUGAGUGAAGAAGGUUUUCGGAUCGUAAAGCUCUGUUGUAAGAGAAGAACGAGUGUGAGAGUGGAAAGUUCACACUGUGACGGUAUCUUACCAGAAAGGGACGGCUAACUACGUGCCAGCAGCCGCGGUAAUACGUAGGUCCCGAGCGUUGUCCGGAUUUAUUGGGCGUAAAGCGAGCGCAGGCGGUUAGAUAAGUCUGAAGUUAAAGGCUGUGGCUUAACCAUAGUAGGCUUUGGAAACUGUUUAACUUGAGUGCAAGAGGGGAGAGUGGAAUUCCAUGUGUAGCGGUGAAAUGCGUAGAUAUAUGGAGGAACACCGGUGGCGAAAGCGGCUCUCUGGCUUGUAACUGACGCUGAGGCUCGAAAGCGUGGGGAGCAAACAGGAUUAGAUACCCUGGUAGUCCACGCUGUAAACGAUGAGUGCUAGGUGUUAGACCCUUUCCGGGGUUUAGUGCCGUAGCUAACGCAUUAAGCACUCCGCCUGGGGAGUACGACCGCAAGGUUGAAACUCAAAGGAAUUGACGGGGGCCCGCACAAGCGGUGGAGCAUGUGGAUUAAUUCGAAGCAACGCGAAGAACCUUACCAGGUCUUGACAUCCCUCUGACCGCUCUAGAGAUAGAGCUUUCCUUCGGGACAGAGGUGACAGGUGGUGCAUGGUUGUCGUCAGCUCGUGUCGUGAGAUGUUGGGUUAAGUCCCGCAACGAGCGCAACCCCUAUUGUUAGUUGCCAUCAUUUAGUUGGGCACUCUAGCGAGACUGCCGGUAAUAAACCGGAGGAAGGUGGGGAUGACGUCAAAUCAUCAUGCCCCUUAUGACCUGGGCUACACACGUGCUACAAUGGCUGGUACAACGAGUCGCAAGCCGGUGACGGCAAGCUAAUCUCUUAAAGCCAGUCUCAGUUCGGAUUGUAGGCUGCAACUCGCCUACAUGAAGUCGGAAUCGCUAGUAAUCGCGGAUCAGCACGCCGCGGUGAAUACGUUCCCGGGCCUUGUACACACCGCCCGUCACACCACGAGAGUUUGUAACACCCGAAGUCGGUGAGGUAACCGUAAGGAGCCAGCCGCCUAAGGUGGGAUAGAUGAUUGGGGUGAAGUCGUAACAAGGUAGCCGUAUCGGAAGGUGCGGCUGGAUCACC